This 100-nucleotide transfer RNA is filed under the name Ruminococcus sp. RNAcentral describes it as "tRNA-OTHER". It matches the Rfam family "tRNA". From Rfam's summary of the family: Transfer RNA (tRNA) molecules are approximately 80 nucleotides in length. Their secondary structure includes four short double-helical elements and three loops (D, anti-codon, and T loops). The record is from RNAcentral. Lineage: Bacteria; Bacillati; Bacillota; Clostridia; Eubacteriales; Oscillospiraceae.
GCAGAUGUGGCGAAGGGGUAACGCGGUCGCGGGUGCGUGGUCGGUGAUAUACGGCGGGGUAUCUGCGGCGAUCUCGCGGGUUCGAUUCCCGUCAUCUGCC